RNAcentral lists this ribosomal RNA (465 nucleotides) under uncultured bacterium. RNAcentral describes it as "partial 16S ribosomal RNA". It matches the Rfam family "Bacterial small subunit ribosomal RNA", at positions 28 to 507 of the family's 1533-position model. The record is from RNAcentral.
GACGAACGCUGGCGGCGUGCUUAACACAUGCAAGUCGAACGGAAAGGCCCUGCUUGCCGGGUACUCGAGUGGCGAACGGGUGAGUAACACGUGGGUGAUCUGCCCUGCACUUCGGGAUAAGCCUGGGAAACUGGGUCUAAUACCGGAUAGGAGCCAUUUUUAGUGUGAUGGUUGGAAAGUUUUUUCGGUGUAGGAUGAGCUCGCGGCCUAUCAGCUUGUUGGUGGGGUAAUGGCCUACCAAGGCGGCGACGGGUAGCCGGCCUGAGAGGGUGGACGGCCACAUUGGGACUGAGAUACGGCCCAGACUCCUACGGGAGGCAGCAGUGGGGAAUAUUGCACAAUGGGCGCAAGCCUGAUGCAGCGACGCCGCGUGGGGGAUGACGGCCCUCGGGUUGGAAACUCCUUUCGCUAGGGACGAAGCUUUUUGUGACGGUACCUAGAUAAGAAGCACCGGCUAACUACGUG